Molecule: ribosomal RNA, 329 nt
Filed under: uncultured eukaryote
Lineage: Eukaryota
Description: partial 18S ribosomal RNA
Rfam family: Eukaryotic small subunit ribosomal RNA
Source: RNAcentral
CCCUUAGAUGUUCUGGGCCGCACGCGCGCUACAAUGAUGAAUUCAACGAGUUUAUAACCUUGGUUGAAAAACCUGGGUAAUCUUUUGAACUUUCGUCGUGAUGGGGCUAGACCCUUGCAAUUAUUGGUCUCCAACGAGGAAUCCCUAGUAAACGCAAGUCAUCAGCUUGCAUUGAUUACGUCCCUGCCCUUUGUACACACCGCCCGUCGCACCUACCGAUUGAAUGGUCCGGUGAAAUCUUCGGACUGUGACUUUGAUCUGUUAACUCAAAACGCUGUUAUGGGAAGUUGAUUAAACCUUACCAUUUAGAGGAAGGUGAAGUCGUAACA